ACUAAUUUACAAAGAUGUCUUCAUUGUAAGGACUUGGGGGUUAUAUUUGACACAAGAUUGCAAUUUUAUGAGCAUAUGAAUAAUAUCUGUACGACAGCGUUUAAGAUAUUGGGUUUUAUUUUACGUAAUACAGACACAUUUAAGAAUAUUUCAUGUAUCAAAAAACUCUACUAUGCAUUUGUGAGGAGUCAUCUUGGGUAUAACAGUGUUAUCUGGUGUUCAUCUUAUAAGAUAUAUAGUGAAAUGAUUGAAAACGUUCAGAAACAAUUUUGUAAAUAUCUUUAUAAGAUUAAACAUGGUCGUUGGCCCCCAAGGCAUUACCCUUAUAAUCAGCUCUUAGAUGAAUUUGAAUUAGAACCUCUUAGUCUUCGUAGAAUUUUUCAUGGUCAAGUGUUUUUGUAUAAGCUUGUUAAUAAUGUUAUUAACUGUUCUUUCUUGCUCUCAUGUUUGUGUUGUAAUGUCCAACGUGUCAAUAGCAAAAUUUCUGUAUGCUUCAAAAAUCCUUUAUCGAAAUCAAGACAACAUAUGUAUUCUUUCGUAAUGUUAAUGUGCUCAAAUUAUAAUUUGUUACACAAACAUGUUGAUAUAUUUAAUAUGCCACUAAGUACUUUUAUUAAUAAAAUUAAGUCCAUAUUAUGUAGACCGCUAUAAUGAUUUAAAUUUAGGUUAACACGUGUAUUUUACUACUUACGGAUGACAUAAUCGAAACAAUUGGAAAUAUUUUGAAUGAACCAAUCAGAGAAGGGGUACCUAAGGGUCAAAUUCGUGUACCAUCCGUUAUUUCCGCUUGCCCCACCGGCACAUGUUGCCUUCACAACAAAUCUCAAUUUGCCUGGUCUAAACGAUAUAUGGUCGAAGAUUUUAAUCCUGGCUUUAAUAACAAUUUGUUGAACAGUCUACAGUGUCAAGUAAAGGACAUGGAUUCUUUAGAUCGUCAUUGCACACUAUUAUUUGACGAGAUAAAGCUGAGCACUAUGACAAAAGUAGACAAGUCAUUAUCGGAUUUGAAGAUUUGGGUCAUUUGGGUCGCUCCCUGAAAUAUGCGGAUCAUGGCCUUGCUUUAAUGGGAAGAGGUAUUCGCAAAAGAUGGAAGCAGCCCAUCGCGUAUUAUUUUACCGCGUCCACAAUUUCGGCAGUUGCGUUGAAGCAAAUUAUUGUUAAAGCCGUAGAAAAAUUAAAAUCAUUAGGACUGAUUGUUCAACAACAAUCUACAGUCUCUGACGAAGGUGCUACCAAUAGAUCAGCUAUGACUCAGUUGUGUUCUUCGGUAAAUGACACUCCUUCAGGUUAUCAUUUUGAAAUCGACGGUUCCAAAAUUAAUUGCAUUUUUGAUCCAGUACAUUUAUUGAAGAACACUAGGAACGCACUAAUUGAAAAUUUUAUUGAAUUCGCGCCAGGCAAGAGAGCACAUUUUGAGCACAUCUUAAUGGUUUUUGAAUCAGAUCAGAAAAAGAAAUUUAGAUCGUUGCAUAAAUUAUCUCGAGAAGAUUUUAAUUUCAAAAAUUCUUACACUAAAAUGAAAGUUUCUGUUGCUGCGCGUCAGUUGAGUUACAGUGUUGUCUGUGAGUUAGAAACGUAUGUCUCACAUAAUCAAUUACCACCAAAUGCAUGCGGAAACAAAUGCGGAAUUUAUCCAUUUAAUUGAUCAACUUUUUGAUUCUUGUAAUGGCAACACAAAGUAUUCAAAACGCGAGAGCAAAUCUUUGAGAUGUGCAAUUAGAGAAGAUUCCCCACAUAUUAAUUUUUGGACGGACCUUUUCGCAAAAAUUAAUAAUUGGAAAGUAAUAAAUAAAGCAACUGGUAAGAAUGUUACUAACCAAUUUCAUUUCAUUAAUCGAUGAAAGUGAAAAUUCAUUCCAUAAUUGCAAUUUGGCAUUUAGCGUUGAUCGUGCUUUAAAUCAAGAUACGGUUGAAAAUUUGUUCUGCUGUGUUCGACAGCAUGGCAUUGCAAAUACCAACCCCACGUGUUUUCAGUUUAUAUCUGCUUUGAAGACGUGUGUUCUUAACAAUCUAGUUAUGCCAUGCAACUCUCAAAACAACUGUAAAGAUGAUGGGGAUUCUUUACUUGACAAUUUGACGGCUCUUUUAAAAGAAGGUGUUCAAGAUGACUCUGUUUCCGCUACGGAUGUAGUGUUUGAGGAUGAGUCGCUUGAACACCAAAACUUUUUACCAAUGUAAACGUGGGGGACAUCCAGGGAUUGGCCUAUGUAUCAGGUUAUAUUGUCAAGAAAAUGGCAGUCCCCGACUCUCUUCAUUCCCCAGAUGUGACUCCUGCAGACACAACUGUAAUGUUCCGUGAUGAUGAAUCAAGUUUUAGUUUACCAUUAUUUGGGGUGUACGGGAAAUAUUGGAAAAGUACCAGAACUUCUAUUGGAUGAUCACGUUUCAUAUUUUAAAACGGCUUCAAUAGAUAGCUAGCGAUAGAUAGCAAUAGAUAGAUAGCUUUUUCUACAUAUUUCCAACUCUCACCUAUGACUCCAAGAAGUUAUCUGUUAAGAUAGCGGUCACACUCCGGUAAACUGUGUUGAUCCACAGGCUAAACUAGGUGAGGGUAUGUCUUCUUAUUGCGAAUAAACACAAGAACGGGAGGCAUCAACUUUUUGGCAACUACCCUCGUCUACCACAUCUGGACCUUCAUAAAGCGCAGUUUGAAUCGAAUGUGAGACUGGAAGUGCUUUAUAAAACGUAAAAGUAAAGUAGUUUCGACGCCUGUUAAAAUUAAGUUG
Molecule: long non-coding RNA, 2726 nt
Organism: Tribolium castaneum (red flour beetle)
Lineage: Eukaryota; Metazoa; Arthropoda; Insecta; Coleoptera; Tenebrionidae
Exons: 3
Source: RefSeq, a predicted model, not a curated record